GGAUCCAGCCGCCGAAGGUGGGAUAGAUGAUUGGGGUGAAGUCGUAACAAGGUAGCCGUAUCGGAAGGUGCGGCUGGAUCACCUCCUUU
This 89-nucleotide ribosomal RNA is filed under the name Paenibacillus taichungensis. Its description in RNAcentral is "partial 16S ribosomal RNA". It matches the Rfam family "Bacterial small subunit ribosomal RNA", at positions 1445 to 1533 of the family's 1533-position model. The record is from RNAcentral. Lineage: Bacteria; Bacillati; Bacillota; Bacilli; Caryophanales; Paenibacillaceae.